RNAcentral lists this long non-coding RNA (523 nucleotides) under Ananas comosus (pineapple). RNAcentral's name for it is "long non-coding RNA (ACOM_LNC011091)". The record is from RNAcentral. Lineage: Eukaryota; Viridiplantae; Streptophyta; Magnoliopsida; Poales; Bromeliaceae.
UAAACGCAAAAAGAUAUCUAACUCGUCCGGUGCGAAAAUAUCAAACGAGAAUAAAAAAAAAAAAGAAAAAAAAUAUAACACAUAAUGUUUACGUGGUUCGAUCACUAGCCUACAUUCAAGGACGAAAACGUAUCGAAGAUCUUCCUUAUAAUUAAAGUAAUAUACAAAAAAUGUCUCUCUCACAAAAUUCUAAUUUUAAAAAGUACAUCCAUACUCUUUCUCAUCUGUUGCACCAAAAUAAAUAAAAUAAAGAGUAUUUUUAUAAUAGUGGCUAAAUUCUAAUACAAUUAGAAAUACAAAUUCACUAAUAUUAGGAAUAUUUUAAUUAGAUUAGGCAUAAUUUAAACGUAACUUAAUAGGAUAACCAAAACAAAAUAGGGUUAGAAAACCGUAUAGUUUCAGAAUUCGAGAUAUCUAACAGUUAUCUAUUUCGUUCACUCUUUAUAAAUAAAUUUGGUUAAAAAUAUAAAGCAAUUAUGCUUUAAACUUGAGACCUCGAAUACUACACGUCAAACCUUUAGCC